Molecule: ribosomal RNA, 308 nt
Filed under: Blastocystis sp. NV-2012
Lineage: Eukaryota; Bigyra; Opalinata; Blastocystidae
Description: SSU rRNA
Rfam family: Eukaryotic small subunit ribosomal RNA
Source: RNAcentral
AGUUGAAGUGUGGGUGAUCGCUGUUGUGAGACUUCGGUCUCUCGACAGUAAGUCACCCCCUUCCAGUAUCCAAUAGUGGGUAUUCAGUUACUUCCUAUUGUGUGUUGGUCAUUUACUGUGAGAAAAUUAGAGUGUUCAAAGCAGGCGUUUGCUUGAAUAGAUUAGCAUGGAAUAAUAAUUGAAGGCUUUCGUGUUCGAUUUGAUUGGUUUGUUCAUGGAAGCAAGGUUAAAAGGAACAGUUGGGGGUAUUCAUAUUCACUAGUUAGAGGUGAAAUUCUCGGAUUUAUGGAAGAUGAACAAGUGCGAAA